AGUGAACGCUGACGGUAGGCCUAACACAUGCAAGUCGAACGGCAGCACAGGAGAGCUUGCUCUCUGGGUGGCGAGUGGCGGACGGGUGAGGAAUACAUCGGAAUCUACUUUUUCGGGGGGGACAACGUAGGGAAACUUACGCUAAUACCGCAUACGGCCUACGGGUGAAAGCAGGGGAUCUUCGGACCUUGCGCGAUUGAAUGAGCCGAUGUCGGAUUAGCUAGUUGGCGGGGUAAAGGCCAACCAAGGCGACGAUCCGGAGCUGGUGUGGAGAGGAUGAUCAGCCACACUGGAACUGAGACACGGUCCAGACUCCUACGGGAGGCAGCAGUGGGGAAUAUUGGACAAUGGGCGCAAGCCUGAUCCAGCCAUACCGCGUGGGUGAAGAAGGCCUUCGGGUUGUAAAGCCCUUUUGUUGGGAAAGAAAUCCAGCUGGUUAAUACCCGGUUGGGAUGACGGUACCCAAAGAAUAAGCACCGGCUAACUUCGUGCCAGCCGCCGCGGUAA
RNAcentral lists this ribosomal RNA (507 nucleotides) under uncultured bacterium. RNAcentral's name for it is "partial 16S ribosomal RNA". It matches the Rfam family "Bacterial small subunit ribosomal RNA", at positions 29 to 523 of the family's 1533-position model. The record is from RNAcentral.